RNAcentral lists this unclassified non-coding RNA (281 nucleotides) under Hevea brasiliensis (rubber tree). The record is from RNAcentral. Lineage: Eukaryota; Viridiplantae; Streptophyta; Magnoliopsida; Malpighiales; Euphorbiaceae.
AAUUAGAACAAAAGACAAAAAAAGAAUUAGCACCCAGAAUCAUGAAAGAGAGCAGUGUCUUUCUUAAUUUGCAAAGUUAGUGCACAUUGCAUAUCUUGUUUUAAAAAAUAUAGUUGUUUCAAAAUUACCGAGCAAGAGUCGAGUACAAUUCUUGGGGAAUUUGAUCUUGGCCGGCCAUUUAGCCUAAUAUCGCUGCUUUACUCCUCUAUAGAGUUUGGUGGGUUUUGGUGAUGAGCUUACUUGCUUCAUAAGGAUGGGUUUGAGACCUAAAAAGUGGAGGG